UUAAGUUUGAUUCUUCGGAUGAAGACUUUUGUGACUGCGCUGCGGACGGGUGAGUAACGCGUGGGUAACCUGCCUCAUACAGGGGGAUAACAGUUAGAAAUGACUGCUAAUACCGCAUAAGACCACAGGGUCGCAUGACCCGGUGGUAAAAACUCCGGUGGUAUGAGAUGGACCCGCGUCUGAUUAGCUAGUUGGUGGGGUAACGGCUCACCAAGGCGACGAUCAGUAGCCGACCUGAGAGGGUGACCGGCCACAUUGGGACUGAGACACGGCCCAAACUCCUACGGGAGGCAGCAGUGGGGAAUAUUGCACAAUGGGGGAAACCCUGAUGCAGCGACGCCGCGUGAAGCAUGAAGUAUUUCGGUAUGUAAACUUCUAUCAGCAGGGAAGAAAAUGACGGUACCUGACUAAGAAGCCCCGGCUAACUACGUGCCAGCAGCCGCGGUAAUACGUAGGGGGCAAGCGUUAUCCGGAUUUACUGGGUGUAAAGGGAGCGUAGACGGCAUGGCAAGUCUGAAGUGAAAGCCCGGGGCUCAACCCCGGGACUGCUUGGAAACUGUCAGGCUAGAGUGCUGGAGAGGUAAGUGGAAUUCCUAGUGUAGCGGUGAAAUGCGUAGAUAUUAGGAGGAACACCAGUGGCGAAGGCGGCUUACUGGACAGUGACUGACGUUGAGGCUCGAAAGCGUGGGGAGCAAACAGGAUUAGAUACCCUGGUAGUCCACGCCGUAAACGAUGACUACUAGGUGUCGGGUAGCAAAGCUAUUCGGUGCCGCAGCAAACGCAAUAAGUAGUCCACCUGGGGAGUACGUUCG
This 812-nucleotide ribosomal RNA is filed under the name uncultured bacterium. RNAcentral's name for it is "bacterial SSU rRNA". It matches the Rfam family "Bacterial small subunit ribosomal RNA", at positions 62 to 888 of the family's 1533-position model. The record is from RNAcentral.